This 234-nucleotide long non-coding RNA is filed under the name Lathyrus oleraceus (garden pea). Its description in RNAcentral is "Pisum sativum (pea) long non-coding RNA (PSAT_LNC020518)". Lineage: Eukaryota; Viridiplantae; Streptophyta; Magnoliopsida; Fabales; Fabaceae. The record is from RNAcentral.
AAAUAAAAUAAUAUUAACAAUCAAAGCAUUUGUUCUAUUCUAAACUGUGGGGGUGUGAACAAUCAAGGAACAUGGGCCUAAGAGCAAAGGAAAACCCAUGAAGGGUUUGGUCAAACUUGUUGACCUCGGAGGCUUCAUCUUCUAAAUGGUGACAAGUGUCCAGGGUUGGUGACACUUGUCACCGCCACCUCACCAAACCAAACACGGUUUAAAAAAAACAAAAAUAGGAAAAAU